RNAcentral lists this long non-coding RNA (2209 nucleotides) under Macaca fascicularis (crab-eating macaque). RNAcentral's name for it is "lncRNA (ENSMFAG00000051603.1)". Lineage: Eukaryota; Metazoa; Chordata; Mammalia; Primates; Cercopithecidae. The record is from RNAcentral.
GGGAGGAGGGGAGCAGGCCGGCGCGGGAGCGUGAGGUCAGCAGGGGCCGUGGGCGGUGGACGCCGGCGUGUCUUGGGUUCCGAGGGACCCAGCUGUCGGAAUGGACACGCUUCACCACGAUGGGCCUGCACCGGGUCGGAGGACCGCUCCGGGACAGGGGGAUGCACCAGGUCCAGAGAACGCAUGGGAUCACAGGGCUGCACCGGGUCAGGGGGCUGCACCGAGACCGGAGGAAGCAUCAGUUUCAAAGGAGUGUGGGGAACCUACAUCUCUUCAGAGUGGACUGUGAAAAGAAUAUUAAGUGAAGUGGAAAAAAGGCAUCCACGUUCAUCUGAAUAAAGACUGCCUCUUCAGCCACAGCUAAGAUGCCUGUAAUAGGAGUGAGAGCCGCCUCUGUUGCAGGAAGCCCCUGGGAUUUCAGAGCUGCUUGUAACUGCAGCCUAACACAGCCUCAGCAGACCGAUACGUCGUCGUGUCGCCAAAACAGAGCAGCACAAAUGACAGUAACCAUCACACACUGAUCUGCAGAUAAAGAGGGAAGCUAUUUUUUUUCUCACCGUUUCUGUCUGAUUUGGAAACCAAGCAGUGGCUGGUUAGUAAUAUCAUUUUGUUUCCAUUCCACUGUGUGUGACUGUCAUCCAAUACCUGUGUACUCUCAGCUUCCAUAAAUUCGGUAAAUUGUAUUGGAUUAAUAGCUGGAUGGAACACGGCCAGGAAACCAGUGUGUUAAAGGAGAAAAUGUUGGUUAUUCUAUUUAUAUUCAUUUUACCGUUGAGCCAGCCAAUGAAACUGAGUUAUGGAUGGAUGUCAGAGUACAAGGAACCAAUUUUCAGUUUGAACAAUUCCACUUUAUUUCUUCAGAAGUAGCACACAGGAGGAAGAACACAGUAACAACAAUUGGCUUUUCAACGCUGCGUGUUUGCACUAAGAUUUUAUCAUUGAGCAUUUUAAGAGAGGAUCAUGCUGAAAAUGAAAUCGUCUGAUACUUUGGGGGAUUCUGAGCUGAUGGAUGACGGUGUGGGCUGGGGGUCUCCUGCCUGGGUAAUGGGUGCUGCUGCACGCAGCCCCCAGCCCCACGCGUUUCCAUCAUCACCACUGCCUGCUCACAGCUCUCAGGAAGGAUUCCAGGCGCCUUUCAUCGUUCCUGUAGUGAACACACACCACUCAAAAUACCAGUAAUUAAAUCUCUCUCAGACGAAAUGCACAGGACUUGACGGCUUAAGCAUUUUACAUGGGGAGAGAAGAACAGACAUGGAAAGCAACCUGAGAAUGGCAGCUGUGUGAAGGAGCCGCCUUCGGAGGGCUGGUGCUGAGAGAAGCCGCCUUCGGAGGGCUGGUGCUGAGACAUCCUUUGGGUGGUUUUGUCGAGAUCGAGAGGAAUAAGGGACGUUUCUAUAAUGCCUGUUUGAUUCAGAGUGGACAAAGGGAGAAGCUCUGCGUGAAUGUGCCCUGCUCACUGAUUCGGAUUGGGCAGCACAGCUGGGAAGCCAGGCGGUGCCUGGGAAUGCUGCUGUCACCGUCACCGUGCUGGUGGACCCUCAUAGCCAAGGUGACUGGAAGGCUGGGCUCACUUUCAAAGAUCCUUACCUGUAAGCUUCCCCGUUAUAAUUGUUUGACAGGCAGCCUCCUUUCACUCAUUCAUUCAAGUCCAUUUAGUGCAGAUUGACACACGCCAGGUGCACUUCCUAGGGGCCGGACAUGAACACACAGUGUGACCAAAAUCACAAAAUCCCUGCACCCACGCGGCUCACCUUCCAGUGGGAGAGAGAGAGAAAAUAAAAACAUACACAAAAGCACAGUAUAUCGAUGUGACCACUAGUAUGGAGAAAUAAAGAAAGAAUGGGGUAUUGAGAAUCCUGGAGGAAGGGGUUCAGUGGUGAACAGCAUAGUAGGGAUGGCUCACAGAAAAAAGAAGACAGUUUGCAAAAGAGCUAAACAGCCAAUUGGAUGAGCCAUUGAGCUCUGUGGGUACCAGGCUGAAGGGUGAUUCAGGCAAAAGGAACAGGAGGUACAAACAUCCUGAGGUGGAAUAUGCCUGAUGUUGUUUGGGAAGAACCAAGAGGCCAGUGAAAUUGGAUUGGAGGUCUUCCUUUAAGAUUACAGCCGGUGGGGAGUGGGGUCGACUCUGAGUUUAGAUUAUACCCUGGGAUGCUAGGUCUCAAGACUACAGAUUGUAUUUUAAAAUAAUCUAAAUAAAAUCGCAAAUGGC